RNAcentral lists this ribosomal RNA (200 nucleotides) under uncultured eukaryote. RNAcentral describes it as "partial 18S ribosomal RNA". It matches the Rfam family "Eukaryotic small subunit ribosomal RNA", at positions 588 to 791 of the family's 1831-position model. The record is from RNAcentral.
GCUCCAAUAGCGUAUAUUAAAGUUGUUGCGGUUAAAAAGCUCGUAGUUGGAUUUCUGCUGGGGACGACCGGUCUACUCAUCGAGUGUGCAUCUGGUUCGGCUUGGCAUCUUCUUGGAGAACGUAUCUGCACUUGAUUGUGUGGUGCGGUAACCAGGACUUUUACUUUGAGGAAAUUAGAGUGUUUCAAGCAGGCGAACGC